AUUAAGUUCCCCGCCUGGGGAGUACGGCCGCAAGGCUAAAACUCAAAGGAAUUGACGGGGACCCGCACAAGCGGCGGAGCAUGCGGAUUAAUUCGAUGCAACGCGAAGAACCUUACCAAGGCUUGACAUACACCAGAACACCGUAGAAAUACGGGACUCUUUGGACACUGGUGAACAGGUGGUGCAUGGUUGUCGUCAGCUCGUGUCGUGAGAUGUUGGGUUAAGUCCCGCAACGAGCGCAACCCUCGUUCUGUGUUGCCAGCACGUUAUGGUGGGAACUCAUGGGAUACUGCCGGGGUCAACUCGGAGGAAGGUGGGGAUGACGUCAAAUCAUCAUGCCCCUUAUGUCUUGGGCUUCACGCAUGCUACAAUGGCCGGUACAAAGGGCUGCAAUACCGUGAGGUGGAGCGAAUCCCAAAAAGCCGGUCCCAGUUCGGAUUGAGGUCUGCAACUCGACCUCAUGAAGUCGGAGUCGCUAGUAUCGCAGAUCAGCACG
This 496-nucleotide ribosomal RNA is filed under the name Microbacterium sp. Its description in RNAcentral is "bacterial SSU rRNA". It matches the Rfam family "Bacterial small subunit ribosomal RNA", at positions 859 to 1356 of the family's 1533-position model. Lineage: Bacteria; Bacillati; Actinomycetota; Actinomycetes; Micrococcales; Microbacteriaceae. The record is from RNAcentral.